GGAGAGGUGGCAGAGUGGUUGAAUGCGGCGGUCUCGAAAACCGUUACUGGGGCAACUCAGUCGGGGGUUCGAAUCCCCCCCUCUCCG
This is a transfer RNA of Synechococcus sp., 87 nucleotides long. It matches the Rfam family "tRNA". From Rfam's summary of the family: Transfer RNA (tRNA) molecules are approximately 80 nucleotides in length. Their secondary structure includes four short double-helical elements and three loops (D, anti-codon, and T loops). Further hydrogen bonds mediate the characteristic L-shaped molecular structure. tRNAs have two regions of fundamental functional importance: the anti-codon, which is responsible for specific mRNA codon recognition, and the 3' end, to which the tRNAs corresponding amino acid is attached (by aminoacyl-tRNA synthetases). tRNAs cope with the degeneracy of the genetic code in two manners: having more than one tRNA (with a specific anti-codon) for a particular amino acid; and 'wobble' base-pairing, i.e. permitting non-standard base-pairing at the 3rd anti-codon position. The record is from Rfam. Lineage: Bacteria; Bacillati; Cyanobacteriota; Cyanophyceae; Synechococcales; Synechococcaceae.